This 301-nucleotide ribosomal RNA is filed under the name uncultured bacterium. Its description in RNAcentral is "partial 16S ribosomal RNA". It matches the Rfam family "Bacterial small subunit ribosomal RNA", at positions 509 to 807 of the family's 1533-position model. The record is from RNAcentral.
CAGCAGCCGCGGGAAUACAGAGGGUGCGAGCGUUAAUCGGAUUUACUGGGCGUAAAGCGUGCGUAGGCGGCUUUUUAAGUCGGAUGUGAAAUCCCUGAGCUUAACUUAGGAAUUGCAUUCGAUACUGGGAAGCUAGAGUAUGGGAGAGGAUGGUAGAAUUCCAGGUGUAGCGGUGAAAUGCGUAGAGAUCUGGAGGAAUACCGAUUGCGAAGGCAGCCAUCUGGCCUAAUACUGACGCUGAGGUACGAAAGCAUGGGGAGCAAACAGGAUUAGAUACCCCUGUAGUCCCUGUCUCUUAUAC